This 250-nucleotide ribosomal RNA is filed under the name uncultured prokaryote. Its description in RNAcentral is "partial 16S ribosomal RNA". It matches the Rfam family "Bacterial small subunit ribosomal RNA", at positions 524 to 773 of the family's 1533-position model. The record is from RNAcentral.
UACGGAGGGUGCAAGCGUUAUCCGGAUUCACUGGGUUUAAGGGGUGCGUAGGCUGAUUUGUAAGUCCGUGGUGAAAUCUCCAGGCUUAACCUGGAAACUGCCGUGGAUACUAUAAGUCUUGAAUGUUGUGGAGGUUAGCGGAAUAUGUCAUGUAGCGGUGAAAUGCAUAGAUAUGACAUAGAACACCAAUUGCGAAGGCAGCUGGCUACACAAAUAUUGACGCUGAUGCACGAGAGCGUGGGGAUCAAAC